UUAUUUCUGGAUUUUCAAUUUUACUCCAUUGAUCUAUUUGUCUGUUUAUGCCAGUACAUACAGUCUUGAUCACUGUGACUUUGAAGUAAGUUUUAAGAACAUAUUGCUGUCUUUAAAAGUUGAAGUAGACAAUGGUGUGGGGAAGAAUAGAGUUGAAGAAUUGAACUAGAGAUUAAGAUACCCAUCCUGGUGAUCUAGAGGCAGACCCAGCUGCAAGUGGGGUGAAGAAUUCUAGAUGAUGCAUGUGGAGAGUAUGGAAUGGCACAGUAAUGAGCCUGAAGGUGGAAUUCAAAUGGCCUCAGUUGUGAGAAGAGGAGGAAUGUUGGGGUAGGAGCCAGCCAAAAUGAUCAAAAUGACAGCCAGUCUUUUGAACUUGAAUUUGCUUAUUAUAAUUUCUUAUCAGAAACCAUCACUCUCUGUGUAUUGAUUUCUAGCCAAUGAUUAACCAGAUGUGACUUUAGAGCCUUGAUCAUAGCUGGGGAACUCACUCAACAGAGAGAAGCCUGCUAGUUGUUGAACAAAGCAGGUAUUUCUGGACCCCUUUGGCAUCAGGCAAGUAUUUUUCCAUCCAGGUGACACAAGAAGUCUCAAACACAGAUCUCCAGAGGACCCCUGAACAUAAAAUUAUGCUGACCACCAAGAAGCAUGAGAUGGUCCAGACCUGAGUGGAAAUUAACUCAACAUCAAAAUUGUGAAAUCAGCUACUUGCUUUGAAGGAUUGAAAUUCAGAAUCUACAUACCCAUAUAAUAGGAUUAUAAUAUGAAUAAUGGUAUUUACUUGUGUUUACAAUUUACAAAAAAAAUUUUUUUGUUUGUUUUGAGUUAGUAGGCAUGGCAAUACUGGGGCACACUGCCACUGAACACUACCCUCAGAGCUUUGUUGUUUUUUAUUUUGAUACGGGAUCUCGCUAAAUUGUCCAGACUGGCCUGAAACUGGUGAUCCUCCUGCCUCAGUCUCCUGAGUCAUUGGGAUUGUGGUGUUGUUUGGAAUUACAAAAUGUUUUUUUACAUCCAUAAUCAUGACAGUUUUUUCUAUAUGAUUCCGUUUAUAUGAGAUUCAAACAUAAAUACAAGUAAGCUGUAUUGUUCAGAAAUGCAUACUUGGGUGGUAAACUACAAAACAAGUCAAGGAAAUAAUCACAAUUGUGUCAAGAGAAUGGUGAUGCCUAGAGGAAAAGAACCAGUGGGCGAGAGGAGGGGAGACUGCGGAGGGAGUGAUCCUGGCCAAAUUCUAUUGUUAUAUUGUGUGCAUGCAUAAAUAUGUAACAACAGAUUCCACUGUUAUGUACAACUAUAAUUCACCAAUUAAAAAAAAAAACUUGGAAAAAAAGAAAGAUGGCAAGAGAGAAAGGAGGUCUCAUUGGGAAAGGGCACAUGCAGGCCCUCUGGGGUCUGGCUGUGUUCCAUUUCUUAGUGUCAGUGGGGCUUACAUGGGUUUCAUUUGCAAUAAGUUGUACAAUUAUGAUAAUUUUGUACAUGAGUACAUUUUUUUUUCACACAUACAACAAAGAGCUGAGAAAAGAAAAGGAAUUAAGUUACUUUAUGUUAUUACAACCAGUAUUGGUUAUUACUUAUUACAAUUCUAGGGUAGAGAUGACUCAGAGCUAUGCAAUAUAUAAUGUGUGACUUCCUUGAUGGUAUUUUAGAUAAUUAUGCAUUGAUUUUUUUCAUAUCAUUUAUGUUUAAAGAGAUCUAUGUACCUAUAUAAUUCCAGUCUGAAAGAACCAAGAGAUUUACUCAAUGCAUCUGACAGUUAAUGUCAGAACUUGACUGUAACUUUUCUGACUCCAUAUCAAAAGCUCUUGAGUGGUGAUACCAAUAUUUCUUUCUCAGCUUUAAAACCUGCAUGCAUGUCUUUAUUUCAAGUGGAACUGAAUUGGUUAUCUUGCUAAUUAUGGAACUGUCUGUUAAUUUUUAAGCUUGAUUAAAAAAUGGCUCUGUAAUAGUUUUAAAAAAGGCUGGAUUUACUUAGUAUUGUCAUUUAAGCCACUGGGAAAGAUGUCCCUGAUUUUCUAGCAACAAAAACACCUUGAGAAAUUAGAAUCUUUUAGAUAGAGGAUGAAAUUCCAUUGUAAUGUUUUUGUAUACCAAAUAUAUUGUGUUCACUGUGAAACAUUUUUAAAAAUUUCAAAGAGUUACAGAAAUAAAAUCACCCAUUUUCUAACCUUAAAGUAUAAGCACUGUAACAUUUCGAUGUCUUUAAUCUGUUUGUAUGGGUGUUUACAAAAUUGACAUUCUGAAAAUGCUAUUUUGAAACUUACUUUUUAAACUUACCAUUAAUUCUUCAUAACACAAUUUAUAAGGUACAUAUAACAUGGUAUAGAGAAUGUAUCAUUUUUUAAGCCAAUUUCCUUUUGUUGACUGUUUUUCUUUUUCCUGUAUGCUGCUAUUAUAAACAUCUUUGUAAAUUAAUCUCUAUGUACAUCCAUUAUUUUCUCCUUUGAAUAAAUUCCUAGAAGCCAAAUCAUUGGAUCUGUGUCAAAGGGUAUGUAAACUGGAAAGGCUUGAUAAUAUCUGUCAAAUUGUCUUUCAGAGAUUUUCUCAAUUUAUGUGUUUCCCCAGCCAUGCUAAUAUGAGAUAUUCUAAUUUAAAUAUAAAAUAUUACAGAUUUUUUUAAAAUUUUAACCUUUAGUCCUUCAAAUAAAAGUCCUUUCAUUC
Long non-coding RNA from Marmota monax (woodchuck), 2658 nucleotides. RefSeq lists it as uncharacterized. The transcript is spliced from 4 exons. Lineage: Eukaryota; Metazoa; Chordata; Mammalia; Rodentia; Sciuridae. The record is from RefSeq and is a predicted model, not a curated record.